Molecule: long non-coding RNA, 105 nt
Organism: Sapajus apella (tufted capuchin)
Lineage: Eukaryota; Metazoa; Chordata; Mammalia; Primates; Cebidae
Exons: 2
Source: RefSeq, a predicted model, not a curated record
UGAGGCAGGAGAAUUGCUUGAACCCGGGAGGCAGAGGUUGCAGUGAGCCAAGAUUGUGCCACUGCACUCCAGCCUGGCCGAAAAGAGCGAGACUGAGUCUUAAAA